This is a long non-coding RNA of Zingiber officinale, 142 nucleotides long. RefSeq lists it as uncharacterized. Lineage: Eukaryota; Viridiplantae; Streptophyta; Magnoliopsida; Zingiberales; Zingiberaceae. The transcript has 2 exons. The record is from RefSeq and is a predicted model, not a curated record.
GGGGCCUUCAUCAACAAUCUGCGACUCCUUCCGCCGCCAUCUGCUUCCCCCGAUCAACCCCCUCCCCUACUCCGUUGUCGGCGUCAUCAAGGACCAGCUUCGAGCCCCCUCGAUCGCCGAGAUGGACCGUGGAUCGGCAGCC